Molecule: long non-coding RNA, 1828 nt
Organism: Haliotis rubra (blacklip abalone)
Lineage: Eukaryota; Metazoa; Mollusca; Gastropoda; Lepetellida; Haliotidae
Exons: 3
Source: RefSeq, a predicted model, not a curated record
AUAAGAAUACAAUGCAAUAAUCAGAUAAUAGUGUAAAGAGGUCAUAUGGUAUACUUUCUUAUUUGUCUGCAAACCAAAAAAGUUUGCAAAUCUUGAUCGUGACAUUUUUAAUAGAAUAUGUGUACUGAAAAUUCAAAGGAAUUGUAAGUCAUGAUAUAGUGUAAUAUAAAUCGUGACAUUUUCUAAAUAGCGUCUACCAUUAAACAUUCCAAAUAAAGUGGUAAAACAUUGAAGAUAUACGUGAUUUAAUUUUAUGUUGGUAUAAAAAUAUCACAGGUACAGGUGAACGCACACAUCUCUGUCUGGCGUGUGAUUCAGCUGAAUGAUAAGCAGUUGUGUGAAACUAUACCUAUCCUUAAAAGCAAAGUGAAAAAUUUAGUGUUAUCAAUUCAAGACCAGAAACGGUGUUUCUGCAAACCCUGUGUUGUUCAGUUGAAGGUAUGUAAUUGAAACUUUGUACAAAUUGUUAGAAUUGAUUGACUUAUAAGUAAUAUUUCUCAUCCAUUGAGCAUUUGAUAUUUCAUUUCUUGCUGAUAAUAGUCUUAAUUUUGACCUGCUUGUAUACUGCAGAAUUAUAUUCAUAUGCAGACAUGUACAACCCAGCAGGCCGGCGACGUAUUUGCUACGUCGCUGUCAGGUCACAUUGAGGUCGCCAUGUCGCAGUCGCAGUGCGACGUUGUAUGGACGUGGCAGACAAGUCGCUUUCUGGUUUGGUUUUCCAUUCACAUGGCCACGUCGCUGCAACGUAGCUGUACUACAUCCAAAGGUCAACGACAAGUGAUGCUUUGUUUUGAAACGUUAUCAAAACGUUCCGAGUAACAUUAUUAAAAGGUUAUCAAAAAAGAAAAUCAAACUUCUACACACCAACCUUUUAGAAACGUUAUUGAAACACUGGUGGAGGUUUUCCUAAAGUUUGAUUGAAGCCUAAUCACAAUGUCCUACAAUCAUUAUUGAAACAUUUUGAGGUAAAUUUUCCCUGAUAAGGAUGUUUCUGUUCACUGCAGGAAUGUAUAUUAAUUUGAAAAAUAAUUGUUAUGCAAAUACGCCUGAACAUAAAUAUUUAUGAGAAAUUAUAAGUUCUAGAAAACUUUUGUGAAAAUUUGGUCAAGUGGAAUAGUAUGUCAUGUGUUUCAUUACAAUGACUGAUUUUGUACAAUACUAUUUACGAUAAAUGCAACAUUUUAUUGCAAAUAUAAUCUCCCAUUUACUGCUGUGCGUUUAAGUUCAGCCUUCCCUGUGUGGACAACUUGCUAUCUCUUGUUUUGGUGUCAGCAGUCUCAGGAAUGUUCCCAGAUACUUUAUCAGGUCAGAGCAGGAAUUCCUGCAUUCAAACUCGGACUCUGUACAUAGCGGGCAGGAAGUUCCGCCACACUGCAGGAUAUAGAAGACUGUUCAUUUUACUCUUGUGACAAGACUACAGUUUUCUAAGAGGAGCUUCAAGCACAGAAACGGGUUGGCGGCAAUGACAUGCAUCAGACCAACUGUUGAGUUUUAACCCUUGGUCAUGGGUCAGUACAAUGUAAAAGGAAUUGGAAACAAGAGAAGCUUUUCUACAACAAGACUGUAGAAACUGAUCAGAGAGAUGCUACUUUGGCCAACUGUCCAACAUCUACUGAAACAGAUAUAGCAAGCUUCAUAGGUUAAUAUUUGAAACAAACAUGCUCCAAGAAAGCUCUUGAGGGAGCAUGAGAGAGCGGAAUGAGCAGCGAGGCAAGCCACAACAGCUGAUAAAUCGGAUUAAACUGUAUGGGGGGAGUGUGUGUAAGCGUGUGUGUGUGUGUGUGUUUGUGUGGUUAAUUUAGUCUGAUUAAAUAUUACUAAAACCCUU